UGUGAGAGAAUUUACAUCCCUCAGUGCGCAGAAGAUAUUUGUAACAUCCUUUUCUCCAUGGUUUUGUUUCCCUUCUGUGUACGUUUUGCUUCCUCGUUUUGCUCUCGUUUGUUAAAUUCUCAACCUGCACUAUUGUGUUGUGGACCAUUCCAUUGAGGAUCUCAUCCUUGCCAUGUGAUGGUGGGUCACCCUCACUACCCACCGGGACACCUGUUUUUUACUCCCAAGAAUAUAUGCCAUUCAAUGCUACCUAUUGCUACCCAUUAGAUAUUAACAUGCUUCACAACACAUGAAAGUGUUCAUUAAUUUACAUCCUAU
RNAcentral lists this long non-coding RNA (318 nucleotides) under Glycine max (soybean). RNAcentral describes it as "long non-coding RNA (GMAX_LNC004365)". The record is from RNAcentral. Lineage: Eukaryota; Viridiplantae; Streptophyta; Magnoliopsida; Fabales; Fabaceae.